RNAcentral lists this ribosomal RNA (253 nucleotides) under uncultured bacterium. Its description in RNAcentral is "partial 16S ribosomal RNA". It matches the Rfam family "Bacterial small subunit ribosomal RNA", at positions 524 to 776 of the family's 1533-position model. The record is from RNAcentral.
UACGUAGGUGGCAAGCGUUAUCCGGAAUUAUUGGGCGUAAAGCGCGCGUAGGCGGUUUUUUAAGUCUGCUGUGAAAGCCCGGGGCUCAACCGAGGAGGGGCAUUGGAAACUGGAAAGCUUGAGUGCGGAAGAGGAAAGGGGAAUUCCUGGUGUAGCGGUGAAAUGCGUAGAGAUCUGGAGGAACACCAGUGGCGAAGGCGACUUUCUGGUCUGUAACUGACGCUGAGGUGCGAAAGCUUGGGGAGCAAACAGG